GUGAGACAGAGAUCCACUUCAUCCUUCCAACAGGCAAGCAAGUCCAGUGGAAUUGUACCCUUCCAGUGUCCUAUUGCAAAGCAGACCUUGAUGAAUCUUCGGAUGCUGCAGACUAUCUUCCAGUCUCAUG
Coregonus clupeaformis (lake whitefish) is the source of this 130-nucleotide long non-coding RNA. RefSeq lists it as uncharacterized. NCBI's taxonomy places the organism in Eukaryota, Metazoa, Chordata, Actinopteri, Salmoniformes, Salmonidae. The record is from RefSeq and is a predicted model, not a curated record. The transcript is spliced from 3 exons.